This 71-nucleotide transfer RNA is filed under the name Marmota marmota marmota (Alpine marmot). It matches the Rfam family "tRNA". From Rfam's summary of the family: Transfer RNA (tRNA) molecules are approximately 80 nucleotides in length. RNAcentral also lists the same sequence under 1 other name. The record is from Rfam by way of RNAcentral. Lineage: Eukaryota; Metazoa; Chordata; Mammalia; Rodentia; Sciuridae.
GGGGUUGUGGCUCAGUGGUAGAGCGCUUGCCUAGCACACAUGAGGUACUGAGUUCAAUCCUCAGAGCCACA